UGAUUGACAGUCUAGAUGACCUGGAGGAU
RNAcentral lists this non-coding RNA (29 nucleotides) under Rattus norvegicus (Norway rat). Lineage: Eukaryota; Metazoa; Chordata; Mammalia; Rodentia; Muridae. The record is from RNAcentral.